CUACGGGACGCUGCAGUGAGGAAUAUUGCACAAUGGGGGGAACCCUGAUGCAGCAACGCCGCGUGGAGGAUGACGCAUUUCGGUGUGUAAACUCCUUUUAUAUGUCAAGAAAAUGACGGUAGCAUAUGAAUAAGCACCGGCUAACUCCGUGCCAGCAGCCGACGGUAAUACGGAGGGUGCAAGCGUUACUCGGAAUCACUGGGCGUAAAGGACGCGUAGGCGGGCUUGUAAGUCAGGUGUGAAAUCCUACAGCUUAACUGUAGAACUGCACUUGAAACUACGAGCCUAGAGUAUGGGAGGGGGAGAUGGAAUUAGUGGUGUAGGGGUAAAAUCCGUAGAUAUCACUAGGAAUACCUAAAGCGAAGGCGAUCUCCUGGAACAUAACUGACGCUAAGGCGUGAAAGCGUGGGGAGCAAACAGGAUUAGAUACCCGAGUAGUC
RNAcentral lists this ribosomal RNA (440 nucleotides) under uncultured bacterium. RNAcentral describes it as "partial 16S ribosomal RNA". It matches the Rfam family "Bacterial small subunit ribosomal RNA", at positions 339 to 795 of the family's 1533-position model. The record is from RNAcentral.